This 528-nucleotide ribosomal RNA is filed under the name uncultured bacterium. Its description in RNAcentral is "partial 16S ribosomal RNA". It matches the Rfam family "Bacterial small subunit ribosomal RNA", at positions 355 to 900 of the family's 1533-position model. The record is from RNAcentral.
UGGGGAAUAUUGCACAAUGGGCGAAAGCCUGAUGCAGCAACGCCGCGUGAGUGAUGAAGGUCUUCGGAUUGUAAAGCUCUGUCUUUUGGGACGAUAAUGACGGUACCAAAGGAGGAAGCCACGGCUAACUACGUGCCAGCAGCCGCGGUAAUACGUAGGUGGCGAGCGUUGUCCGGAUUUACUGGGCGUAAAGGGUGCGUAGGCGGAUGUUUAAGUGAGAUGUGAAAUACCCGGGCUUAACUUGGGUGCUGCAUUUCAAACUGGAUAUCUAGAGUGCAGGAGAGGAGAAUGGAAUUCCUAGUGUAGCGGUGAAAUGCGUAAAGAUUAGGAAGAACACCAGUGGCGAAGGCGAUUCUCUGGACUGUAACUGACGCUGAGGCACGAAAGCGUGGGUAGCAAACAGGAUUAGAUACCCUGGUAGUCCACGCCGUAAACGAUGAGUACUAGGUGUAGGAGGUAUCGACCCCUUCUGUGCCGCAGUAAACACAUUAAGUACUCCGCCUGGGAAGUACNACGCAAGAUUAAAAC